RNAcentral lists this ribosomal RNA (381 nucleotides) under uncultured euryarchaeote. RNAcentral describes it as "bacterial SSU rRNA". It matches the Rfam family "Archaeal small subunit ribosomal RNA", at positions 471 to 851 of the family's 1478-position model. The record is from RNAcentral. Lineage: Archaea; Methanobacteriati; Methanobacteriota.
UAACCCCAGCGCCACAAGUGGGGAUCGUAUUUAUUUGGCCUAAAGCGUCCGUAGCCGGACUGUUAAAUCUCUUGUGAAAUCGUUAAGCUCAACUUAACGGCGUGCAGGAGAAACUGGCAGUCUAGGAACUGGGAGGCGUCAGAUGUAUGCUUGGGGGAGCAGUAAAAUGCUAUAAUCCCGAGUGGACAACCGGUGGCGAAGGCGUCUGACGAGAACAGGUUCGACGGUCAGGGACGAAAGCGAGGGGAGCAAUCCGGAUUAGAUACCCGAGUAGUCCUCGCUGUAAACUCUGCGAGCAAGGUGUUGCACAUUCUUCGUGGAUGUGCAGUGUCGAAGAGAAGUCGUUAAGCUCGCCGCCUGGGGAGUACGGUCGCAAGACUG